AACGAACGCUGGCGGCAUGCCUAACACAUGCAAGUCGAACGAGACCUUCGGGUCUAGUGGCGCACGGGUGCGUAACGCGUGGGAACCUGCCCUUAGGUUCGGAAUAACUCCCCGAAAGGGGUGCUAAUACCGGAUAAUGUCUUCGGACCAAAGAUUUAUCGCCUUUGGAUGGGCCCGCGUUGGAUUAGCUAGUUGGUAGGGUAAAAGCCUACCAAGGCGACGAUCCAUAGCUGGUCUGAGAGGAUGAUCAGCCACACUGGGACUGAGACACGGCCCAGACUCCUACGGGAGGCAGCAGUGGGGAAUAUUGGACAAUGGGCGAAAGCCUGAUCCAGCAAUACCGCGUGAGUGAUGAAGGCCUUAGGGUUGUAAAGCUCUUUUACCCGGGAUGAUAAUGACAGUACCGGGAGAAUAAGCGCCGGCUAACUCCGUG
This 433-nucleotide ribosomal RNA is filed under the name uncultured bacterium. RNAcentral describes it as "partial 16S ribosomal RNA". It matches the Rfam family "Bacterial small subunit ribosomal RNA", at positions 29 to 507 of the family's 1533-position model. The record is from RNAcentral.